AAACUUUUUUUCACUACCCUUCAUACUACAGCUGUCGAAAAACCACAGCAACGUCGACAGACCUGGAGGCAUAGCUGUACUUGUUUAACUCACAACGACAACGGGUCAAUUAUGAGUGAAGAACCGUUCACCAAAUGAAGACCGCAGCCAGGUGACGGGAUUCUGUGGUAAUCGCAAACAGAGUGAAAUGCACACGGUGAGUAAUGAACGCAGACCUUCAGUGCCGGACCUCUGAC
Non-coding RNA from Paramisgurnus dabryanus, 236 nucleotides. The record is from RefSeq and is a predicted model, not a curated record. NCBI's taxonomy places the organism in Eukaryota, Metazoa, Chordata, Actinopteri, Cypriniformes, Cobitidae.